Long non-coding RNA from Lutra lutra (Eurasian river otter), 9683 nucleotides. RefSeq lists it as uncharacterized. The record is from RefSeq and is a predicted model, not a curated record. The transcript is spliced from 6 exons. Lineage: Eukaryota; Metazoa; Chordata; Mammalia; Carnivora; Mustelidae.
UGGGGAGCUUAGCUACAGGUGACACUUUUGUAGGGCCGGAGUAUGUGUUCUCUGGAAGGUGCUAUACACACGCCGGUGCCAUGCAGUCGAGUGAAAUAAGUGGGUUUCUUCCUUUCUUUAGAUUCCAGGUAGAAAUAACCUGCAUUCCUUAUUCAAGGUUCAGGACAAAAUUCAUUCAGUUUUUUCCAUGCUGUUGCCCAGUAUCCCCUGUAGCUCCUUCACAUGCCUUCAAAGAAGGGCCUUCACCCAGGGCUUUGAAAUCUACCUGACUGCUGAUGCUGACCAGUCAAGCUGUGUUUAAUCAGUUAAAAUGUGUAUGGUUCAUUGGCUCUGUAGUUUUGGUCAUUGGCCAAUACAACUGUGAAUGACCUUCGCUCAUGCUUUUCUUUCUGGCACAAUGGGUAUAAAGGAAUACUUGUUUCAAGGUGAUUCUGCAAGCCGGCCACCCCACAGGCUGAGAAGAUGCUGGAUCCUCUGUUACACACCUCCUUUGUGUUUCCUUAAUUGAAACCUUUUCUACUUUAUUUCCUGUUUUGUUUUAAAAAAAAAAAAGUGCCAUGUUAUUAAAAAAAAAAAGUUUUACUUUAGAAGUAUGGAUUCUUUUUUAAAAGCAUAAUAGCAUUUUCAAAAAAAAAAAAAAAGGUGAUCAUUUUGGUUCCCAAAGAGCUACAUAACAAACAUGACUUCAAAUUUUAUAGUUUGAUAUGUGUGUACUUAAAUUUUUUAUGACUUUGUACACUAUAAAUGAACAUGUACUCUAGUUUAAUACCCACUAUGAUAUGAUCUGUCGAUCUGAAAACCCUGUCACUGAACACUCAUGACGUGUUAUUCUGAUACCUCAAAAAUGGGUCCCUUCCAGUGAGGUCCUAUAACAAGAAAUCCUGUGAGAGUUCCACAAUAAAAAGUCUAACAAUCAGUACUAUGCCUAGAACUGCUGGAAAGCCCCCCUGUCUCUUACUAUGUCAUCAUACUGUCGGUGUUCCAUUGGCUACCCAAAAGUUCUAUUUAAGGGGUGAAAAACACUCAAAAAUGUAAAUUACAUUAAAAUGUUCUGAGUAUCAAUAAUUUUAUACACAAACUAUUACAGAUCAUACCUGGGGCUUCUUUCAAGGUUGGGUAGAUUGUUAUAGACUUUUAGAAAAAUGAUCAUCUCUGUAUGUGAAUAUGUGUAUGACAAAGGAAAACAGAUUUUUCAGGGAAUAUGCACUUCCUUACUAAUACUUCCUUACUAAUUUUUCUGUUGACCAAAUAGUCUGUGCUUCUUUGGGAUGCUUACGGUUCUUUGGUAAAAAUAUGGUUAUUGAUGAUGUUAAUUUUUAAAAUAUCUAUUUCUGCAUCAUGGCAAUAUUUCCUUCACUUCUGUGUUCCUUAUAUGUCUAAUGUGGGCUCCAGUCCAGUUGCCUGUUAUAGUCUCUGCCUUUUUAUUUUAAAAUGUUGAUAAUUUAUAAACAUAAACGUUUAUACUGAAGUUCCUCCUCUUCAAAUUGAACUUGGUCUUUUUUUCUUUUUCCUGAAAAUUGAUUAACCAUACUCACUAAUGACUUUUUUCCUUAAAAAAAAAAAAUCAUUACUUUUUGCCCUUGGUAGAAUGAGGUUUCUUGGUCAGAUGACUCCUCAGGGGUAAUGUAUACUUUUUCCAAUAAAAUGGGUCAAGUAAAAUUUUCUCAUCUUCAGUCUGCCUCUGUUUUUAGUUGUUGGGUAGAACCAGAAACAUUACCAGUAAGUCCUCCCUCACCUCUCUAAACUCUCUCUCGGGGGCUUACAUAAAUGUGGAUAACAAAGAGAUUGGCUAAACUCCUGAUUUUUCUAGAAGACAGCAUUCCAGCCCAGCAUGGUCCUUGCAAACUAAAAACCCGUUGAUCAAUACUUUGCAAAUUGUUAAGCAAAGCACCAAGAUUGUGCUUCUCAACCUCAGCAAACUUCUAAUGGCUCCUUUCCUUGGUAAGUAAUGGGCACAGUUUGAAGGAAGGGGUAGGAGAGAAUGUUUUUACUUGCAUAAUUAAUUAAUAUUUGGCAGAGAUAAUUACUUUGCCUCUGAUACGGAGAGUUCAGCCUUUGCAUGACUUAAGAAAAUACUUUGUUAUUACUAUUCUCUGUCCUGGUUUAUUAGAUAACCUUCCUGCUACUGGAUUGAUUGAAAGCCCAUCAUUUUCUUAACAUGCUUUCUCAGCUGAAGGUAAAUUAAAAAUAACAAUUCAGUGCUAGCAGGAACUUAAAAAACGAAAUCCUACAUUAAUUCCCUUGAUUACUGACGGUCUUGAACGUUUAGCGUAAGUUCGGUAAUGAUCAGAAGCAGUUCCUAAGCUUCAGUGCGCCGUGUUUUUCCCCUCCUCCCUACGGCUCUCCUUUUUGUUUGUUCCUAGAUAUCCCUAAGAGCUGCUUCCCCAUCCCUGUGCUCUCUUGGGCAAAGGUAUCUUGGCUCUUCUUUUCCUAGACCCUCACUGUUCCGGCUAAUUUUUAGCAUUUUGUCAGGUUCCACAAAAACUGUUGCUUUGCAUUCAUUUCUUGAGGGAAGGUUGGUUUUUACAGCUUAGUGUUGCUGUGGUAGAACCGCGAGCUGGAGGAAUAAUUCCUGUUUUCCCAGCAGUGAUGCUCUUCUGCUCUUUACCAGCUUCACGUUUACAAGUGUCCAGCAGAAUGAGAACCGGUCUGUGCUCUCACUGGCUAAUGAAAAGGCUCAGUGCGGUUACAGGAGCGCUGACACAUUGUUCCGUAACAGGCAUAGCUAUGGGAGUAUGUUUCCCAGACUGAUUGGAGAUCAGAUCCAUCACACCUUAAAUCCCUAAGUCGCUGUGCUGUGUAUGUUUUAGUACGUGUGCUCAGACCUUCCAAUAAAAAGCAAACACAAAGACACACCGGGCCUCUAGUUUGGCAUAUUCUGUGCUUCCCAGGUGAUUCUGUUUCUGCUUUACUGAGCCAGCUACUAGGGGAACCCCAACACAACAUGAUGAUGAAUGCAGAAGACCUCAAAAAGGAGGAUGAAGGGAAGUAGACUAUGCCCCCAAGCAUGCCUCUUUGGCUUAAGAAUUGUUUUUAAGGAACAACAGACACAGGAAAACCAGGGGUUACCUUUCGUAAUGAAAUUCAUAAGCAAAUCUCCAUUUGAAGGGUGUCUCCCUCUUUGUAUUAAAAGAAGGAGGACUUCAAUCACAAGAAAUGCUUAUGAGGAGGAGCCCAACUUACAUCUGCAUGUCAACCUUACCAUACAUUUCCUUGUAGCUCCCCAUAAUUGGCCUUCCCCACCCCGAACACCUUUCUUGUGUGGGGAGAAAAGUAAGGUGAUAGCCUGGCCCAUUUUAGAGGGUUACUCAGUUUUCCUGGGUUUCUCCCAUGUUUACAGAAGGUGUACAUGUUAUCAAACUGUUUUUCUCCUGUUAAUCUAUCUUUUAUUACAGGGAUGGGAUCCCACUCAACAAACUAGAAAAGAAGAGGGGAAAUUAUUUUUCCUCCCCUACAGUUUGGUGACUCAUCAUGGACUUGCUGAAACAGCAUACUCCCCCUGGAGCCUACAGACAGGAUCCUGGAAAACUGGCAGAAGCUGGCAAAGGGUGUAACUGAACCAACUUGAGUUUGUUCCCUGGCCAGUCAAGAUAAACAGUAUACCCGGUUGGGUUGUUGGACAAAGUAAAAUUUGCAGCAAAAAAGGAGUUCAAAGGGCAUAACCUCCAAAGCUAUGACUCCCUGAAAGUGGGGAUGAUUACAGAGGAAGAUGAUGCUUCAUUGGAAACUACUACACCCUGUGAGUAUCAGAUUCUAGUUGUGUUGUCUGAAGUUUCAUUAUUUACCUGUAAAUGGACUUCAUCCUGAAUUCUUCUAGUUUCCUUGCAUAAUCUUGCUAGAGACCUCCUCAAAGUAACAUUCCCAAUUUUACUCUCUUUUGACUUGGAGUCACUGAAAACAAACUGCAUGAAAUUCCUGGAAAUUUGAUUUGAUAUAAUUCUAGUUACCUUAAAAUGUAGGUCACAGAAGUAACCAGAUGUCCUUGUCAGCUGCAUUAUCGUGAACUCUCAUCAGAUCUUUAAUAUUGGCCAUUUUGUAAGUCUUUUGUCAAUUACAGAAGUUAUUUCAGAACGUUUUGCAAAAGUGUGGAGCCAAGCCCUGUAAACUGAAUGUGAAGGACUUGCUAUAAACUCCACAGAAAUGCCCCAGUAGCUCAUGUUUACAGUCUUCGUGCCUGUUACCUUGUGGGCCAAAGCUGACCUCAACACAUGAUGACAGAGACAUUCACGCUGCAGAAGAUCCUUUGACCCCCAACGUGUAGAAAUCUUCUGACUGGCUGCCCUCAGGACAGAGAUUCAGUGCAUGAUUUGCUCCAACCAUUACCCUUUUCCUCCCCCCCUCCCCCCAUAGAAAUGCUGAUUAAAUCCUUGCUUGCACUGCAGAGGCCUAACUGGGCUUCCACCUGCCCCUCCCGCUCCUGAAAUGAGCCAACCUGACCUGUUCACAAGACCGACACUGGUUCCAUGAAACUACGGAACAAUCUGUCAAUCCACUCAACUUCUGGACUGUGAAGUCAGCUCUGCAGAGCCCACUGUGGAGCUUGAAGUCAUACCCUGACAUCAAAGCCACAUGCCCCACCGACUGAGCCAGCCAGGCACGCCUGCUCUCAAGGAUUUCUAAGAGUAAAGAAAUAAAAACUUCCCUUUAUAGAGGGCAGCGGUCAAAGACAUGAAAGCCUUGCACACCCGCUCCAGAGGAAUAAGUCUGUCUCCCUGCAACUCCUGCAUACCUGGGCCCACUCUUCUAUACAGCACAUUCUUUGCAGUUAAGAUCUGGAAUUCAUUACCUGACAGGCCAUUAUACAAGGCAUUUUUGAGUAAAAGAACUAUAACCCAUGCCCUGGCCAACGAUGGAGGGGGUGCUUUGGGGCGUCCUGCCCAGCACGGCUUCCCUGCUCCUCGACCCUGCACAGCGGCUGCUGAGCGAGGACCUCAGAGCGUGGUGCUGAGCAAGGGGCAUGAACGGGAACCGAGGGGGAGCUCAGGGUGGCAGGCGGGCCGUAUUCACUGCGCAGCCUUCCAUGCAGGAAGCAAACCACCCUCCAUCGGGCCAUCUGUCACCAGAGGACAGAGAACACAGGCUGGCCCACAGCAGCACACAUUGAAUUCUUCUGAACUGAAUGCCUUUCCCAAUAAGUAGACCGCUCUGGCACAGCUGCGACCCCCAUGGACCUGGACUGAGUCAGUGCGGCAGCUCCCCAGCUGGGGCAGCUGCUGGCGUAUGAGCGCAACUCUCUCGGGGGGCAGCACGGUCCCCCGAGCCGUUUCCUACAUUCCUCUCAGUGCACAAGCCCCAGUUCUCAGCGCUCUACCGUGCUUCAAGCAGCUCCAGAGCCUCCAGGGGGCUCUUCCCAGUGGCUCUACGUCCAGAGCCCCGGCCACUCCCCAGAACAUUCACAGAAGCAAAGGACACUGGGUGGCCUCAGGGAAGGGCCAGAGAUGCCCUCACAGAUGUGGAGUUGUCGCCCCCUCCACAGCUGUCCACCCUCCUCCCUGGGACACUGCCUACCUGCCUUCUGGCUCUUUCCUGAGCUGAUCCCAGACCUUCUCGGGGCUUCUUUUAUUUCCUUUUCCUCCUUGGCUGCUCUACCACACCUCAAUGUCCCUGUGAUCAGAUUGGUUGUGCCGGCCUGGGGUAGUAGCCUGAAACACUCAGCCUGGCACUAGCACCAAAGGGAGGCCACGGACACCGGAGGGGGGACUGCAGGUUUCUUCUCCUGCCGGCUGCCUUGUCCAGACGAUCGGGGUGAACUGUCCCCCCACACCAGCUUGGGGGGCAACAACAACCCCCAAAGGGAAGGGGAAGGGAUUCUGAGGCCUCCAGAGGCUGGGAGACGACGCGGGGCAAAAGGGAAAGAGCUGAGCUCCAGAAGCAGGAAGAACCGCCUCUUCAGGCAGGAACGUGACCAAUCUAUUUGUCCAGGGACCUAGCGGACAGAGGCACUGCCUCCCAAAAUUCUCAAAGGAAAUUCUGUGGUCACCUUGCGAUAAUUUGCAUGCAGGACCAUCUAUUUCCUCUUACUUUAGGGAUUAAUGAUUUAAAACCAGAGCUUUAUGAAUCAAAACUAUAGCGCGGAGGUCAUCCCAGGGAGUCAUUAAGCAAAAGGCUUGCGGACCGAACGUCCUCCCUGUGCUGGGCCUGCAAAACCUGUCGUACCCACCAGAGGGCAGCACCAGAUCAGACCUGGAGCAGGCCUAUUGACUUCAGAUUUGAGGGCAACCGUUCCUGCUGUCUACUGAUCAGGACACCAGAAGGCAGAGGGCUAUGGUGAGGAGGAAAGGAGAAGCCGGAGGCAGCGGUAGUCUUUACUCAAGUCACAAGAUUUCAGCACCCCAGAUGAGAUGAGCUCCCUCCAAAGAACCUCACAUUUGACUGAGCUUCUCAUUGAAUAAGAGAGGCUUAGAACACAGCGAAGAAAGGUGGGUAUGGACAAGGACAGAGAUCUGGGGGUCCACAGCUUUUAGGAAGUGGUAAGACACACACCGAAGUCAGAGGGGGAUAGUGACAAGCCCACAUUUCACAGGCCGCUCCCUUCUCCCCAGUGAGAGGCUUCUUUGAAACAGGGACAACGUGUGCCUGGGCUCUGCACUCACUAUUUGGCCGAGUCUGACAGCUGGUACUCCCUUCUCCUGUCGUAACACUCCUGGAUUCCUGGGUCCUCCCAGAGCUGCUUGAUGGCCUCCACCUGGUCCCUGGACAGGGCGCAGACCUUGUCCACUUCCACUUCUUUGAUUAGCUGGGCAUUUUCCUGCAUGAAGGAAAGAGAACCUGUCAUUGGGCGAAGGAAAGGAAGCCACCCCGUUGGUGACAUGGGGACAAGACUUCCCCAAGGGAAGUGGCUUAGGGCUAUGGGUUAGGGACAGUCUCCACUCACACGCAAGCCAUGCAGUGGCAGCUCCUACCCGUGUAGACGAUGUGGCUGCUUCACUCAGGGAGAGCCACAGAGAGACCUGGACCUAUGGCUUUUGGUCCUAUCAGCCUCCAGGGGCCAGUGCCACUGGCAUUUGGCACCCAUUGGUUGAACAGAGAAACCCAAGAGCCAGGGAUCCUCUCUGUCAUUUGAACAUCUGCAUGGCAGGCAGAGCAGUCUGAACUGUUCUCAUUGUCCGGGCGUCUCAGGGGUGGGGUGGCGGGUGAGGCAGCUGUGAGAGAGGGCCUGGGCUGCAGAGAACAGACAAACACUGACAUCACCAGCUAGCUGGGUCGGUCGGCUCACUUUUCCACUUCCACUUUUUUUUUUUUUUUUUUAAUAUAACUCAGUAGACUUUAUUUCUUAGAUCAGUUUUAGGUUCACAGCCAAACUAAGAAAGUUCAGAGAGUUCCCAUACUGUCUGCUUAUUUGUCAUCAGACAUCGCUGAUAAAACUCCUUCCCAUUUGGAGAGCCACUCCCACUGCAACCCCUGCCCAAGUCAAUCAUUGCUUUAUUAUUCUAUUUGUCAUUAUUAUCCUUCAAUAACUAUUGCUCUAAUACUCUUGCUCCAUUAUUACAGUACUUAAGAUUACUGCGGUCAUUAUUACUAUUCUGUCAGUUACCAUUCAUUGCCCACUUCCUGUGAGCCAAGAGGUGCACACACAUUACCUCAUUUAGUCAAUGUAAGACUAGCACGGGGCCAGAAAUCUUGCCAGACCUUAGCAAAUGAAAAUGAUAUGGUUGGCGCACAUCCUCGUGUCCCUGUGUUGGCCACAGAGAUCCAACACCCCAUCCCUUGGCUGCAGGUUGCAGAGACAAGGAAAUCCGGCCUCUCCUCUGCUCCCCCAUCCCGGCCCGGCACAUCUCCGGGCAAUGACAUCAUGCGGAGCUGGCUGUUCACUGGCCGCUGUGCCCUGCUUGCCGAAAAGGUGCUUAUAUCUUGUGUUAUUCAUCCUCAUUAACAAUCCAACAGGAAGCUGGAGAAAGGGGAGAUCUUAGAGAUUUACUUGUCUUGGGGCAAAACCGAGGGCCCUGAUGAAACCAGCAUGACUUUGCAUCCCUCUCCAUCAAGAGUGGCUAUUAACUCUUCCCCCUGGACUGCGGGAUCCUCGGCAGGGAGAGGGUCCCAGUCGCAGAAUCUCAGAUGGGUCUUGGCAGCAUGGGUGGGUGGGAAGCGCCCUGGACCGGGAAUAAGGAGCCUGAGUUCUAGUGCAUUUGGGACUUGUAAGGACCUCAGCAGUUCCCUAUCUCCACAUCCUCAUUUGUAAAAGGAGCCAAAGACUUUCAAGGCAUCUGGUUUAUCAGUUAUAAAGUAUUACCCAAAUGUAAGCAACACCAGCCCUAUUAUUGUGACAGAUGCCUAACACUGUUGGCAGAAAGAGGACACACUGAUGGCCUUCCAGCCACGACUUCGAAUCCUGCCCGCGAGCACAUCUGGCAUCCCCUGCCCAGUCCAAGCCAGAGAGCGCGCACAGCCCAGAGAAGCUGGACAGUGUGUGCCCGGAGCCUCGGGGCUGGCUUCCUCACGCUUCCCUGCCUGCCUCCGCUACCCUCUUCCUCCCGAAUAGGAUCAGAUGGUCUCUCCCCACCCUGGGCUUGGCUCUUCCCUCGGCAUUGAAAGGAUCUGUUUCCUUCCCCGUCUUUGUAACGAGCCAGUGUCUUAAUGCUCCCGAUAUCCCAGAACCCAGUGCAGUGGCACGGGCAGCCCGCAGACAUGCCGCCCAUACACCCGUCCAUCACUGGAACAAAGAACAUCCCGAGAAAGUAACAGCCGAAGAACGUGAGGGCAGGUGACGGCAGCCUGUGCCGGUCCCAGCAAGAGCACAGAGGAGCUCGAGGGCAGGAAGGGCUCUCCCAGGAGGAAAAGCCCUGGUGACUGCUGGCCAGCCUGUCUUCCUCACUCUUCCCCCCGCAGGCAGAAUCCUUGCUUCUGGGGUGCCUGCCUCUCGUGCUGCUCUCCUAACUACGACUUUUUUUAACACUUAUUUUUAAAGUAAUCUACCCCCAGAGUGGGGCUCGAACGCAUGACCCCGAGACCAAGAGCCGGCAGCGCCCCCUACAUGCAACGAUUACAUUCAGCUCGCCUGUGGAGGGGCAGCCCGGUGAGAGUCCCACCUUCCUGAGCGAGUACGAUGAGCAGAGACGCCCCGCCACAUCACCCUGCAUACCGAGCUCGAGCGAGACAUCCUCUUUCCUUGUGUGUUCCUGCAGCGUAACCGACGCUAUCCUGACGGCUGCACGGCGCAGUGGGUAAGCCCAGUAUUUGCCUCUUCCAGGAGGGAGCAAAGGGGAGCCAGGGAGGUAUCCCCGAGGAAAGCCGGUUUCGCCACCGGGAUGCAGGGGAUGGAUGCUGGGGAAGGACAGCCCUGAGCCUCCAGGUAACCAGCGGGGCUCAGCCAGGAGAGCAGUACCCAGUGACGGUUCAGCCAAGUGAGGGACAAUGCAGGGACUCUGGCUUGAAGAAGAGGGGACCACGGUCUCCUUAGAGACUAAGGUUUCUAAGGAGACUGAGGGCCCCCCUAGAAACCCAACAACUGGGAACUGGGUUUGGAACCGACUAAUUUCAAGGAAACCAGAAGUACUCCAAGUUCAGAGCUCUCCUCCCAGCUAGGUCUCCCACCUGCCUGAGGUGGUUCUUUUUCAGCUUAUUUUGAGAUAAUUUAAGACUUGCAAAAAUGUGGGGGAAAUGGCACAGGAGUUCCUCUCUGCCUUUCGAGAAUGCCCCCGGGCGCCUGGGUGGCUCAGUGGGUUAAGCCUCUGCCUUCGGCUCAG